UGGAAGUAUGCUCAUGGCCACCCCAAAGACCUCAUCAUAGGUGAUGCGGCGAAAGAUUUUUCAAAAUGGCCGGUCACUUUCCUGAGAGUGGAGGUCCUCCAGGCGCCGGAGAUGACCCAGAUAUUAUGGCUCUGCCUCCGAGGGUUCGACCAUUUAUUCCUGAGAGGUACGACCCUCCGACACAUGUCCUCCCUCGGGCAGUUUUCUAUCAUUUUACGAACUUCGAUGAUCGAGCCCCCGUAGUUUUGCUAUUGCGGGAGCCGGAGUCCCAUCUCUCUCAUCAGGCACGAGAGGUGUCUUCUCGUAUCACACGAGGGUAUGGCUCCAUCGUCGCGAGGGAGUGGUACGCAGAGCUCCCGAAGGCUGUCCGCAAGUGGGUUGACGAGGCAGGGUUUGGACCUUUCUGUACAGGGAUAUCCCGCUAUCCUGCCAGUAGGACGUUGAUGGGUGCGCUUGUAGAGAGAUAGUGGGACACCACCAACUCCUUCCAUUUCUCAGCUGUCGGGGACAUGACUAUGACCCCAUUCGACUUCGCUGUAUUAACAGGCCUCGACAUGGGAGACUGGGCGAUCCCUUAUGAUGAGGACAUGGACGAGUGGGAGGCUGCCUGGAUUUAACUAUUGGGAGCUCGUCCACCGGUCGACCGAUCCUCGGGUCGAGUCUGGUACACCUGGUUUUCUUCAUAUUUCAGACAGAGGGAGUCCGAGACUCCCAAGGAGAUAGCACAGUACACCCGAGGGUUUUUGAUGUUCCUCUUCGGGACCACUCUGUUCUCCGAUAGGGGGAACACCGUUGGACUAUAUCUUCUGAGUGCCCUGGUGGACCUAUCGCGGGUUAGCCAGUAUGAUUGGGGUGGCGCCGGCUUAGCUACCCUUUAUUGCUACAUGAGCGCAACCUCCCGCGGACGGGGGAACAUAGUCGGUGGCUACUGGAGAGCUUGGGAGUUAUAGGUUUUUGCGUACUUCCCAACGCUAGCCCCAGAGCUCGAGGUGGAGGCGCCCCUCAUGACCCCCUACUCGCUUGUUUUCGAGGGCCAAUACCGGUCGAAACCUCGGGAGACUCUCCCCUACCUGUGGCAGUAUUUCGAUACGGUGCGGCCGACAGAGAUCACGUGGCAACGUUAGGUGCCUUUGGGUGGGGACCUCCAAUUUCAGCUUGCCGGAGGAUGGGCUGCUUCACGGUACAGGGUCCUGUUUGAGGGGCCGGUCGGUAGGGCCUGGUUCUUGGGGGAAUGCUUCAUGCGCCAAACGAUGGGCUACCCUCAUCAGGAUAUCCCCUCAGCACCUCCGGUCGAUAUGCGGGCUACCGGGAGGCUCACUCCCCAGGAGGUUAUCAGUGCCAUGCUGGGUACUGACAUAUUACUAUAUUGGGAGGAGGGAGAGUACGCGACCUACCGUCACACAUACUUGAUGCCCCCGUUGACAGGUGUCCGUACUCCCACGAGGAGGUCCGCUGACAUGCCAUCUUCGAGUCGAGCCCGGGCUGCAAGUACCCCUUCUUCUAGCAGAGCCGGUACGUCGAGAGGUGGGGGUGGACUGGUCCCUCCGAUUCCUCUGACUUAUCAUCAUGCCGGAUGGCCUGACAUUCCGACCGAGUUGACGGGUUGGCGAUACAGGAGCUCCUACCCGAUUUCAAUAGAGCCUCCUAUGCCUGAUCAUCGACACGUCAGUGAUCCUGACUCA
This is a non-coding RNA of Camellia sinensis, 1682 nucleotides long. Lineage: Eukaryota; Viridiplantae; Streptophyta; Magnoliopsida; Ericales; Theaceae. The record is from RefSeq and is a predicted model, not a curated record.